CGCCUGUUUAUCAAAAACAUCGCCUCUCGCCAACAAACUGAAGUAUUAGAGGUCCCGCCUGCCCAGUGACCAUGUGUUCAACGGCCGCAGUAUUUUAACUGCGCUAAGGUAGCGUAAUCACUUGUCCCUUAAAUAGGGACCUGUAUGAAUGGCACCACGAGGGUUUAACUGUCUCCUUCCCCCAGUCAAUGAAAUUGAUCUGCCCGUGCAGAAGCGGGCAUAUAUACAUAAGACGAGAAGACCCUAUGGAGCUUUAGGCAAAAGAUUAAACAUGUAAAGAAAAUCUAUUAAACCCAAGGGAACUAAAGACUCUUUAAACCUAAUGUAUAAUAAUCCGUCAUGCCUUCGGUUGGGGCGACCGCGGGGAAAAACAAAACCCCCACAUGGAACCGAAACACCUUCCAAACCAAGAACCACAAUUCUAAGCAACAGAACAUCUGACCACAAAUGAUCCAGGAAACACCUUAAACCUGAUCAAUGAACCAAGUUACCCUAGGGAUAACAGCGCAAUCCUCUCCCAGAGCCCAUAUCGACGAGAGGGUUUACGACCUCGAUGUUGGAUCAGGACAUCCUAAUGGUGCAACCGCUAUUAAGGGUUCGUUUGUUCAACGAUUAACAGUCCUACGUGAUCUGAGUUCAGACCGG
Molecule: ribosomal RNA, 645 nt
Filed under: Neenchelys parvipectoralis
Lineage: Eukaryota; Metazoa; Chordata; Actinopteri; Anguilliformes; Ophichthidae
Description: partial 16S ribosomal RNA
Rfam family: Bacterial large subunit ribosomal RNA
Source: RNAcentral